GGAGAAGUACCCAAGUGGCUAUAAGGGGCUCCCCUGCUAAGGGAGUAGGCUGCGAAAGCGGUGCGCGGGUUCGAAUCCCGCCUUCUCCGCCA
The sequence is a transfer RNA, 92 nucleotides long. It matches the Rfam family "tRNA". Rfam says of the family: Transfer RNA (tRNA) molecules are approximately 80 nucleotides in length. Their secondary structure includes four short double-helical elements and three loops (D, anti-codon, and T loops).